GGUCAUUCUAUGCCUGUUAUGUUGUGCACUAGUUGAAAUUAGCUAACUGAGAUGGAAUGCAUUCAAAUAACAACAAACCAUGAAAACUACAGAACUAAUGAAUGGAUUAGAUCUGGUUUUGUUUGGACUAGUUCAUGAUGUAUAAUUGUAAUGAAUGCUCUACUGCUAUUGAAUGCUAUGUAAUGUCUUAUUUGAAUGGCCUAUGGGAUUUAUGCAGUGACACUAAUAUGAUGACUUGUUGCUUGGUAUGUGAUGAAUGCUUGAUCAUUAUACCCGAGCUACGGGUAGCUUGCAAGUGAAUGACUUUUGAAAGCAAGGAAAUGUCAAUGUUUGUUGCUAUUACCGACGGUGAUGACCCGGUAUGCCAAUGUACUCCAUGUUGGCUUAUGUGUUUCUUGUUAUGGCCAUGAAUGUAUCCCUUUGGUUGCCACUCCCUGUAGACAAGUUUUCUUUUCCAUUUUCUUUGGUCUUGGAAAAAGAGAAUCUUAAUGGGACCCUGUUUGCAUGAAUUGAUUUGCUCAUCUGCCAUACUGUCUUGUUGCUGAUAAAUGCAGAGUUGCAGCAUCUGCUUGGUUGGCUUCAGUUCUAACAUAUGUUUGCAUUGGUGUCAUGGUGUAAACCUCUAUAUUUUGAGCUCAUGUAUAAUGGAAUAUUUUGGAGUUAACUUAGAGUGCACUUAGGGUAUUUCAUUGUUGUAGAUCUUUUGUCAUGGUUAUAAAUUUUAUGAAUGUAGAUAGAUUUGAAAUAGAAAGCAUUUUGAGCAUCUUGUUAGGAAUGUUGGAUUGGGAAUUUGGUUUGCAAUCGUAUAGAAAUGUACAUCGUUAGUUCAUUAAAUUGUAAAUUAAAUUGGUCAGGAAUUGUUCAUAGAAUGGUUUAUGGUUUAAAGAUUUUGGUUGUCA
Molecule: long non-coding RNA, 899 nt
Organism: Lathyrus oleraceus (garden pea)
Lineage: Eukaryota; Viridiplantae; Streptophyta; Magnoliopsida; Fabales; Fabaceae
Exons: 2
Source: RefSeq, a predicted model, not a curated record